Molecule: transfer RNA, 76 nt
Filed under: Clostridium butyricum
Lineage: Bacteria; Bacillati; Bacillota; Clostridia; Eubacteriales; Clostridiaceae
Also listed under: 13 other names
Description: tRNA-Thr(ggt)
Rfam family: tRNA
About the family: Transfer RNA (tRNA) molecules are approximately 80 nucleotides in length.
Source: RNAcentral
GCUCACAUAGCUCAGUUGGCAGAGCGUCACCUUGGUAAGGUGGAGGUCGUCGGUUCAAUCCCGAUUGUGAGCUCCA